CAGUCGCCGCGGGAAUACGGAGGGGGCUAGCGUUGUUCGGAAUUACUGGGCGUAAAGCGCACGUAGGCUGCUUUGUAAGUUAGAGGUGAAAGCCUGGUGUUCAACACCAGAACUGCCUUUAAGACUGCAGAGCUAGAACGUCGGAGAGGUGAGUGGAAUUCCGAGUGUAGAGGUGAAAUUCGUAGAUAUUCGGAAGAACACCAGUGGCGAAGGCGGCUCACUGGACGACUGUUGACGCUGAGGUGCGAAAGCGUGGGGAGCAAACAGGAUUAGAUACCCCCGUAGUCCCUGUCUCUUAUAC
Molecule: ribosomal RNA, 301 nt
Filed under: uncultured bacterium
Lineage: Bacteria
Description: partial 16S ribosomal RNA
Rfam family: Bacterial small subunit ribosomal RNA
Source: RNAcentral